CCCUUAGAUGUUCUGGGCCGCACGCGUGCUACACUGAGUAAUUCAAUGGGUAAGGGAACGCUAGAGCAUCACCUAAUCUUGAAAUUUGCUCGUGAUGGGGAUCGACGGUUGCAAUUUUCCGUCGUGAACGAGGAAUACCUUGUAGGCGCAUGUCAUCAUCAUGCGCCGAAUACGUCCCUGCCCUUUGUACACACCGCCCGUCGCUCCUACCGAUUGAGUGAUCCGGUGAGGCUCUGGGACCUGGACGGAAAGAGCGUUUCGCUUGUUCUGUUUGGGAAACUUGGUCGAACCUUAUCAUUUAGAGGAAGGAGAAGUCGUAACA
RNAcentral lists this ribosomal RNA (322 nucleotides) under uncultured eukaryote. RNAcentral's name for it is "partial 18S ribosomal RNA". It matches the Rfam family "Eukaryotic small subunit ribosomal RNA", at positions 1470 to 1796 of the family's 1831-position model. The record is from RNAcentral.